RNAcentral lists this ribosomal RNA (1562 nucleotides) under Pediculus humanus capitis (human head louse). RNAcentral's name for it is "SSU rRNA". It matches the Rfam family "Eukaryotic small subunit ribosomal RNA", at positions 35 to 1414 of the family's 1831-position model. Lineage: Eukaryota; Metazoa; Arthropoda; Insecta; Psocodea; Pediculidae. The record is from RNAcentral.
UCUCAAAGAUCAAGCCAUGCAUGUCUCAGUGCAAGCCGAAUUAAGGUGAAACCGCGAAAGGCUCAUUAAAUCAGCUAUGAUUCAAUUGAUGGUACGAUCACGGUUACUUGGAUAACUGUGGCAAUUCUAGAGCUAAUACAUGCUAAACGAGUUCCGACCGCGGGUUCGAACGAUCUCGCGGAACGAAUGCUUUUAUUAGAACAAAACCAAUCGGAUCUCAAUCGAGAUCCGCAAAUCUAUGACGAAUCUGAAUAACUUUGAGCUGAUCGCACGGUCUCUGGAACCGGCGACGCAUCUUUCAAAUGUCUGACUUAUCAACUUUCGAUGGUAGGCUACGCGCCUACCAUGGUGAUAACGGGUGACGGGGAAUCAGGGUUCGAUCCCGGAGAGGGAGCCUGAGAAACGGCUACCACAUCCAAGGAAGGCAGCAGGCGCGCAAAUUACCCACUCCCGGCACGGGGAGGUAGUGACGAAAAAUAACGAUGCAGGACUCUUUUCGAGGCUCUGCAAUCGGAAUGAGAACACUCUAAAUCAUUUAACGAGUAUCCAUUGGAGGGCAAGUCUGGUGCCAGCAGCCGCGGUAAUUCCAGCUCCAAUAGCGUAUAUUAAAGUUGCUGCGGAUAAAAAGCUCGUAGUUUGAUUUGUGUUCCGAGCAGUCGGUACGCCGUUCGUCGGCGGUCAACUGACUCGCGGCGGAACGUCCUGCCGGUUGACGGAGCGGGAGGCGGCGGMGGCGGCGCGAGUCGUCGCCGCCGCCUUGAGUGGUCGGAGGGAAGAGCACCGCGCGAUCUUCGGAUCGCGGCGCGCGCUUCNCUCGUCNGACGACGUUUCUGCGUCCGUCAGUCAUUGAGAAAAUCCCGUCGCGGCGCUCUUAACCGAGUGACGCGCCGGGCCGGCACGUUUACUUUGAACAAAACUGAGUGCUUAAAGCAGGCCGAACCCAAGCGCCUGAAAGUCGGAUGCAUGGAAUAAUGGAAUAGGGCCUCGGUUCUAUUUUGUUGGUUUUCGGAAUUUCCGAGGCAAUGAUUAAUGGGGACAGGCGGGGGCAUUAGUAUUGCGGCGUUAGAGGUGAAAUUCUUGGAUCGUCGCAAGACUAACCUAAGCGAAAGCAUUUGCCAAGGAUGUUUUCCUUAAUCAAGAACGAAAGUUGGAGGUUCGAAGGCGAUCAGAUACCGCCCUAGUUCUUACCGUAAACUAUGCCGGCUAGCGAUCCGUCGAUGUUCGUNCAGAUGAUUCGGCGGGCAGCUUGAGGGAAACCAAAGCCUUCGGGUUCCGGGGGAAGUAUGGUUGCAAAGCUGAAACUUAAAGGAAUUGACGGAAGGGCACCACCAGGAGUGGAGCUUGCGGCUUAAUUUGACUCAACACGGGAAACCUCACCAGGCCCGGGCACCGGAAGGAUUGACAGAUCAAGAGCUCUUUCUUGAUUCGGUGGGUGGUGGUGCAUGGCCGUUCUUAGUUGGUGGAGCGAUUUGUCUGGUUAAUUCCGAUAACGAACGAGACUCUAGCCUGUUAACUAGGCGACGAUCUCUUGAUCAUCCGGCAUGGAACGGCGGCGCGCGCGC